GUAAUUGCGCCACUGCACUCCAGCCUGGGCUAUAGAGCAAGACUCUGUCUCAAAAACAAAAACAAAAACAAAGACCAGGGAAAUCUGUCUAUUUUUAUGCCACGGUUUGAUGAAAACCAGUCACGUAGAGACCAGGCACGGUGGCUCAUGCCUGUAAUCCCAGCACUUUGGGAGGCCGAGGUGGGCAGAUCACGAGGUCAGGAGAUCAAGACCAUCCUGGCUAACACAGUGAAACCCCGUCUCUGCUAAAAAAAAUACAAAAAAAAUUAGCUGGGCAUGAUGGCGGGCACCUGUAGUCCCAGCUACUCAGGAGGCCAAGGCAGGAGAAUGGCAUGAACCUGGGAGGCGGAGCUUGCAGUGAGCCAAGAUCGCACCACUGCACUCCCGCCUGGGUGACAGAGCGAGACUCCGUUUCCCGAAAAACAAACAAACAAACAAAAAAAACGGUCACGUAGAAAUGUGAUUGGACAAAAGGGGGUGUGACCUAAGAGUAACAGAUUAGGAGGAGCUCAGCUGGGCCUGUUUGUUCAAAUUCUUUUGUGUCUUUGUAUGAUGUUCCUUCUCUCUAGGUAUGGGGGAGGACACCUGUCACAGGAGGAUCUUCAAGGGAGAAAGGAGGAGGUCAGAGAGUGACCUUGCUAGUUUUUAUGGUUUGUUUCCAGGAAGAGGAAUUCUAGUUUCUUUGACCCACUUCAGGAGAGAAAGGGGAAUGGGAGAAAGGAGGGCAAGGCAGUUCAGGAGGGCAAGGCAACUUCUUGCUUCUGCAGCCCUCUCAAUCUCCUGAAGCUCAAAAUACCCUACAUUCCAAGGUACCAUACUUUGGGGCGUCAUGUUCUGAGCCCAGACAGUGGCAAACAUGAUCCACAUGGGCCCCAUUUUCUUGGGGCUGUUGAGGAGACAGGGGUGGACAUAAACGGUCACACAGGACCGGGCACAGUGGCUCAUGCCUGUAAUCCUGGCACUUUGGGAGGCCGAGGUGGGCAGAUUGUGAAGCUCAGGAGUUCAAGACCAGCUUGGGCCGGGCACGGUGGCUCACGCCUGUAAUCCCAGCACUUUGUCUCUACUAAAAAUACAAAAAAAAUUAGCCGGGCGCGGAGUGGGUGCCUGUAGUCCCAGCUACUCAGGAGGCUGAGGCAGGAGAAUGGCGUGAACCCGGGAGGCGGAGCUUGCAGUGAGCCGAGAUCACACCACUGCACUGCGAGACUCCGUCUCAAAAAAAAAAAAAAAAAAAAAAAAAAAAAA
RNAcentral lists this long non-coding RNA (1242 nucleotides) under Macaca fascicularis (crab-eating macaque). Its description in RNAcentral is "lncRNA (ENSMFAG00000060099.1)". Lineage: Eukaryota; Metazoa; Chordata; Mammalia; Primates; Cercopithecidae. The record is from RNAcentral.